AAAGAACCGAUGACGGAAAAAGUAGUGGAGUCCCACAUAAAUAAGAGAGAAAAUGCCAGAGGCUGAGAGCAUUUUCACUUGAUGGCUCAACGAAAGACACUCCCGAGGCUUUAUGCUGAUAUGUAAGUAUAAACGUUUUGCAGGCGUUAACUGUGAAGAGCGGAUGCAAUAUUAUUGCAUCAACUAGGGUGGCAACGCGGGUGAACUCCCGUCCCUUAU
This 219-nucleotide non-coding RNA is filed under the name Oceanobacillus picturae. RNAcentral describes it as "T-box sequence". It matches the Rfam family "T-box leader". Rfam says of the family: Uncharged tRNA acts as the effector for transcription antitermination of genes in the T-box leader family. T-boxes are found upstream of many aminoacyl-tRNA synthetase genes and some amino acid biosynthetic genes usually in Gram-positive bacteria. The record is from RNAcentral. Lineage: Bacteria; Bacillati; Bacillota; Bacilli; Caryophanales; Bacillaceae.